This 1139-nucleotide long non-coding RNA is filed under the name Homo sapiens (human). RNAcentral's name for it is "HSALNT0171938". Lineage: Eukaryota; Metazoa; Chordata; Mammalia; Primates; Hominidae. The record is from RNAcentral.
AAAAAGCAUAGAUAUAACUGUAGUAAGUGACAGAAUUUUAAAAAAUCACUGUGAACAUUCCAGAAAGUUCUCAGAAGGUUCGCAGAAAUUACCAGUAAAGUUAAACUCUAAUUUCUGGCUUCAAUGUCAUUCAUUCAAUAAAUAUUUACUGAGUGGCCCUGGGACAUAGCAGUAAAGAGGACAGACAAUAUUCCAGCCUCAUGAAAUUUACUUUCUGUGAUGGGGAAAAAACAUGUAAACAAACCAAUAUGCAACAUAAAUUCAGGUGUUAUGAAGUACUAUAAAGAAAAUUAAGGAAAAGGAUGUAACGGGUGUGGGUGGUAUUUUAGGAGAUGAUUUAGUGUUCUAUAUUAAAUUUCCUACACAUAGCAUGCAAUAAAUGUUAUAAUAAAUAUAACCGCAGAUAUAUCUUAGGCAUGCUACUAAGAGGACAGGAUUUUCAUGUAGUUCCAUAAUAAAUCAAACUGAAUACAUUUAUGUAAAUCAUAACAAGCUUAUAUAUGGACCAAUGAAACUUACCCUAUAGAAAGCACUGGUCAAAGGGAGUAAUGCUGCGGCAAUGUUGUAUUCUUCUAAACUUGAACAAUCCUUUAAGCAAAACAAAGACAAAAGAGCAUUAGGAUAUUUACCAGAAAUCACAAAUACAUGCGAACUAACAUCUGGGAUACACUGUUUACUGUCCUAUGGGGUUUUUACCUUUUUAUUUUGCAGAGGACCUGACGGAGGGGUUUGUACUCUUAUUCCAAAUUGCCAUUAAGACAUAGCUAGGUCAUUCCCUGAAAGGAGAAGUAAAUCAAAGAAUGACAGAAGAAAAUAAUGUCCACAUGGAUGAAGCUUGUUGAGUGACAGCUUCAUUAUAGUAUGCCCUGGGAGAGCUGUUCUACUGAAAAACGUCAACCUCCACAUCUUUAAUAAAGUAUUUUUCUCUUUGGCUGGUCACAUUUCUCAGAGAACAGUUUUACAAUCUCUUGCCUGGAAGGCAGGCUGCCAGAGUCCUGGAAGCUAAAGGGGGAAAGCCCACUGGCAUUCUCAAUAUUUGGCAUUCACACAACCUCCUUGUUUGCAGCAAGACAGAAUUUCCCUCAACCAGACCUAGUAUCUUCCAGGCCAAUGACAGCCUCUCUCUCAUAAAAAUAAAU